UCCCAGUGAAGAAACAUCCGGGGACAUACUUCUUGUCCCGUCCCAGUCCCAAAUUCUAUAAAGAUAAACCCUCUGGGGCUGAGUGGGGGAAGGAGGAAAGUUUAUUGAAGGACGAAAUGUCUGAGGGAG
This 129-nucleotide small nucleolar RNA is filed under the name Neogale vison (American mink). RNAcentral describes it as "Neovison vison (American mink) Small nucleolar RNA SNORD22 (ENSNVIG00000009327.1)". It matches the Rfam family "Small nucleolar RNA SNORD22". Rfam says of the family: U22 is a member of the C/D class of snoRNA which contain the C (UGAUGA) and D (CUGA) box motifs. U22 is encoded within the U22 snoRNA host gene (UHG) in mammals and has also been identified in Xenopus. The record is from Rfam by way of RNAcentral. Lineage: Eukaryota; Metazoa; Chordata; Mammalia; Carnivora; Mustelidae.